Molecule: ribosomal RNA, 253 nt
Filed under: uncultured bacterium
Lineage: Bacteria
Description: partial 16S ribosomal RNA
Rfam family: Bacterial small subunit ribosomal RNA
Source: RNAcentral
UACAGAGGUGGCAAGCGUUGUUCGGAAUUACUGGGCGUAAAGGGCGCGUAGGCGGUCUCGUAAGUCCCGUGUGAAAGCCCCCGGCUCAACUGGGGAAUGGCACGGGAAACUGCGAGGCUUGAGUUCGGGAGAGGGAAGCGGAAUUCCGGGUGUAGCGGUGAAAUGCGUAGAUAUCCGGAGGAACACCGGUGGCGAAGGCGGCUUCCUGGACCGACACUGACGCUGAGGCGCGAAAGCUAGGGGAGCAAACGGG